UGUUGAUGCGGUUGAAUCCAUUGCAAAAUCUAUUUCUGGAAAGCCACAAAUACUGGCUUUCAAUGAUUGCUCAAAUUCUUCAUCCAAUUUUCUUAUGAAGAAGAGUGUUGGAGAAUCAAUCUGUAGAAUACCGCUUGAUGAUCCAGUAAAUGAUCAUAACAUGGCUUGAGAUAUUUGUGCUUCUAAGUUGUCAAUGACAAACGCGACAUGCUGUCCUUGCAGUUGAUUUGCCUUAUCAUCGUUACAGAUCCUCUGGCGUCAUUCAACUUAAUAGAAGAAAGUUCUGUAAUUGUAAACUUCUUCCAUAUCACCGGUGCAGCUACGUGCUGCUACUUUUCACAUUGUCUGCAAA
RNAcentral lists this unclassified non-coding RNA (352 nucleotides) under Hevea brasiliensis (rubber tree). Lineage: Eukaryota; Viridiplantae; Streptophyta; Magnoliopsida; Malpighiales; Euphorbiaceae. The record is from RNAcentral.